GACGAACGCUGGCGGCGCGCCUAACACAUGCAAGUCGAACGAGCGAUAGAGAGCUUGCUUUCUCGAGCGAGUGGCGAACGGGUGAGUAACGCGUGAGGAACCUGCCUCAAAGAGGGGGACAACAGUUGGAAACGACUGCUAAUACCGCAUAAGCCCACGGCUCGGCAUCGAGCAGGGGGAAAAGGAGCAAUCCGCUUUGAGAUGGCCUCGCGUCCGAUUAGCUAGUUGGUGAGGUAACGGCCCACCAAGGCAACGAUCGGUAGCCGGACUGAGAGGUUGAACGGCCACAUUGGGACUGGGACACGGCCCAGACUCCUACGGGAGGCCGCAGUGGGGAAUAUUGCACAAUGGGGAAACCCUGAUGCAGCGACGCCGCGUGGAGGAAGAAGGUCUUCGGAUUGUAAACUCCUGUUGUUGGGGAAGAUAAUGACGGUACCCAACAAGGAAGUGACGGCUAACUACGUG
RNAcentral lists this ribosomal RNA (465 nucleotides) under uncultured bacterium. RNAcentral's name for it is "partial 16S ribosomal RNA". It matches the Rfam family "Bacterial small subunit ribosomal RNA", at positions 28 to 507 of the family's 1533-position model. The record is from RNAcentral.